GUUUACUGUGUUUCAGUAGGUUUACUGUGUUUCAGUAGGAAGACCUGAUGGUUUACUGUGUUUCAGUAGGUUUACUGUGUUUCAGUAGGAAGACCUGAUGGUUUACUGUGUUUCAGUAGGAAGACCUGAUGGUUUACUGUGUUUCAGUAGGUUUACUGUGUUUCAGUAGGAAGAACUGGUGGUUUACUGUGUUUCAGUAGGUUUACUGUGUUUCAGUAGGAAGACCUGAUGGUUUACUGUGUUUCAGUAGGAAGACCUGAUGGUUUACUGUGUUUCAGUAGGAAGACCUGAUGGUUACUGUGUUUCAGUAGGAAGACCUGAUGGUUUACUGAGUUUCAGUAGGAAGACCUGAUGGUUUACUGUGUUUCAGUAGGAAGACCUGAUGGUUACUGUGUUUCAGUAGGAAGACCUGAUGGUUACUGUGUUUCAGUAGGAAGACCUGAUGGUUACUGUGUUUCAGUAGGAAGACCUGAUGGUUACUGUGUUUCAGUAGGUUUACUGUGUUUCAGUAGGAAGACCUGAUGGUUACUGUGUUUCAGUAGGAAGACCUGAUGGUUACUGUGUUUCAGUAGGAAGACCUGAUGGUUACUGUGUUUCAGUAGGAAGACCUGAUGGUUUACUGUGUUUCAGUAGGAAGACCUGAUGGUUUACUGUGUUUCAGUAGGAAGACCUGAUGGUUACUGUGUUUCAGUAGGAAGACCUGAUGGUUACUGUGUUUCAGUAGGAAGACCUGAUGGUUACUGUGUUUCAGUAGGAAGACCUGAUGGUUACUGUGUUUCAGUAGGUUUACUGUGUUUCAGUAGGAAGACCUGAUGGUUACUGUGUUUCAGUAGGAAGAACUGAUGGUUUACUGUGUUUCAGUAGGUUUACUGUGUUUCAGUAGGAAGACCUGAUGGUUUACUGUGUUUCAGUAGGUUUACUGUGUUUCAGUAGGAAGACCUGAUGGUUUACUGUGUUUCAGUAGGAAGACCUGAUGGUUUACUGUGUUUCAGUAGGAAGACCUGAUGGUUUACUGUGUUUCAGUAGGUUUACUAUGUUUCAGUAGGAAGAACUGAUGGUUUACUGUGUUUCAGUAGGAAGACCUGAUGGUUUACUGUGUUUCAGUAGGAAGACCUGAUGGUUACUGUGUUUCAGUAGGAAGACCUGAUGGUUUACUGUGUUUCAGUAGGAAGACCUGAUGAUUUACUGUGUUUCAGUAGGA
Molecule: long non-coding RNA, 1201 nt
Organism: Oncorhynchus keta (chum salmon)
Lineage: Eukaryota; Metazoa; Chordata; Actinopteri; Salmoniformes; Salmonidae
Exons: 3
Source: RefSeq, a predicted model, not a curated record